CGAGAAGCUCAUCUUCGGAUGAGUGGAGAGUGGCGCACGGGUGAGUAACACGUAGCUGAUCUGCCCUGAAGAGGGGAAUAACGCUCCGAAAGGAGUGCUAAGACCCCAUAAGCUCACACAAACUAGAGGCGUGUGAGAAAAAGCUCCGGCGCUUUGGGAUGAGGCUGCGGUCCAUCAGCUAGUUGGUGAGGUAAAGGCUCACCAAGGCAACGACGGAUAGGGGACCUGAGAGGGUGAACCCCCACACUGGCACUGAGACACGGGCCAGACUCCUACGGGAGGCAGCAGUGAGGAAUAUUGCACAAUGGGCGCAAGCCUGAUGCAGCGACGCCGCGUGGGCGAGGAAGGUCUUCGGAUCGUAAAGCCCUUUUCCAGGUGACGAGAAAGGACGGUAGCCUGGGAAUAAGUCUCGGCUGACUACGUGCCAGCAGCCGCGGUAAAACGUAGGAGGCGAGCGUUAUCCGGAGUUACUGGGCGUAAAGCGCGUGUAGGCGGUUGUGCAGGUCAGUCGUGAAAGCUCCCAGGCUAAACCGGGAGAGGUCGUCUGAAACCGCAUAACUAGAGUGUGGCAGAGGGAUGUAGAAUUCCGGGUGUAGUGGUGAAAUGCGUAGAUAUCCGGAGGAAUACCAGUGGCGAAGGCGGCAUCCUGGGCCACAACUGACGCUGAGACGCGAAAGCAUGGGGAGCGAACGGGAUUAGAAACCCCGGUAGUCCAUGCCGUAAACGAUGCACACUAGGUGUUCGUGUCACGAAACUGGCGUGAGUGCCGCAGCCAACGCGAUAAGUGUGCCGCCUGGGGAGUACGGUCGCAAGGCUAAAACUCAAAGAAAUUGACGGGGGCCCGCACAAGCAGCGGAGCGUGUGGUUUAAUUCGAAGAUACGCGAAGAACCUUACCUGGGCUUGACAUCCCACGAACAAACCCGAA
This 926-nucleotide ribosomal RNA is filed under the name uncultured bacterium. Its description in RNAcentral is "bacterial SSU rRNA". It matches the Rfam family "Bacterial small subunit ribosomal RNA", at positions 67 to 1005 of the family's 1533-position model. The record is from RNAcentral.